Molecule: long non-coding RNA, 248 nt
Organism: Empidonax traillii (willow flycatcher)
Lineage: Eukaryota; Metazoa; Chordata; Aves; Passeriformes; Tyrannidae
Exons: 3
Source: RefSeq, a predicted model, not a curated record
GCCCCGAGGCAGGGGAUUGGCUGGGGCGGGGCGAGGCGGAAGUGGCGCUGAUGGCGACAUGGAGGCCCCUCCCCAGGACUACCGGAACGUGCCCAUCGACAUCCAGACCAGCAAACUCCUGGACUGGCUCGUGGACAGGCGCCACUGCAGCCUGAGGUGGCAGAGCCAGGUGCAGCUCAUCCGGCAGAAGAUCGAUGUGGCCAUCCAGGACAUGCCCGAGAACCAGGAGAUCAAACAGCUCCUGGAGG